UGCAAGUCGAACGGUGGACGACCAGCUUGCUGGUCUGAUCAGUGGCGAACGGGUGAGUAACACGUGAGCAACCUGCCCCUGACUCUGGGAUAACGACCGGAAACGGUCGCUAAUACCGGAUAUGAGACGUACAGGCAUCUGUUGCGUCUGGAAAGUUUUUCGGUCAGGGAUGGGCUCGCGGCCUAUCAGCUUGUUGGUGGGGUAACGGCCUACCAAGGCGACGACGGGUAGCCGGCCUGAGAGGGCGACCGGCCACACUGGGACUGAGACACGGCCCAGACUCCUACGGGAGGCAGCAGUGGGGAAUAUUGCACAAUGGGCGCAAGCCUGAUGCAGCGACGCCGCGUGAGGGAUGACGGCCUUCGGGUUGUAAACCUCUUUCAGCAGGGAAGAAGCGCAAGUGACGGUACCUGCAGAAGAAGCGCCGGCUAACUACGUGCCAGCAGCCGCGGUAAUACGUAGGGCGCAAGCGUUGUCCGGAAUUAUUGGGCGUAAAGAGCUCGUAGGCGGUUUGUCGCGUCUGCUGUGAAAACCUCAGGCUCAACCUGGGGCUUGCAGUGGGUACGGGCAGACUAGAGUGCGGUAGGGGUGACUGGAAUUCCUGGUGUAGCGGUGGAAUGCGCAGAUAUCAGGAGGAACACCGAUGGCGAAGGCAGGUCACUGGGCCGCAACUGACGCUGAGGAGCGAAAGCAUGGGGAGCGAACAGGAUUAGAUACCCUGGUAGUCCAUGCCGUAAACGUUGGGCACUAGGUGUGGGGCUCAUUCCACGAGCUCUGUGCCGCAGCAAACGCAUUAAGUGCCCCGCCUGGGGAGUACGGCCGCAAGGCUAAAACUCAAAGAAAUUGACGGGGGCCCGCACAAGCGGCGGA
RNAcentral lists this ribosomal RNA (870 nucleotides) under Cellulomonas sp. VC-CS401. RNAcentral describes it as "bacterial SSU rRNA". It matches the Rfam family "Bacterial small subunit ribosomal RNA", at positions 56 to 936 of the family's 1533-position model. Lineage: Bacteria; Bacillati; Actinomycetota; Actinomycetes; Micrococcales; Cellulomonadaceae. The record is from RNAcentral.